UUUUUUCUAGAUUCUACAUCUUCAUGUCUUUCUGUAACUGAUUCCUCUGGGAAAAAAAAAUCAAACCAAAAAUAAAUGAAAAAAAAACAAAACAAAAAAGUUUAAAACCAUGUUUUUAAAGAAGUUUAAAAAGUCAAUAUGAAGGUGCAGGCAGUGCAUUCUGUGGAAAAAGUCAUUACAAAAAUACAAGCACACAUAGAAAUGAAGAGAUUUCCCAAGAUCAUACAAGAUCCUGAGUCAAUGAGUUUUGUUUUUAAAUCAGUGUUAUGGAAAUCUGCUGAAAAUGAUCAAAUACUCCUUCUAACCUGGAAAAGCUGAGAGAUUGAAAACCUGAAGGUGUCCGAAGAUAGUGUAAGCUAAAAUAUUGCUGGGAUGCAUAUUUCACUUAGGCUUGCUUGCUGUAUGCUGGCCAACCUUGAUUAAGUGUCAAGAAUAUUGAGUAAUCUGGAUUCUGGAGAGAAUGUUUUAACAGGGUGAAACAGCCAUCUGAAAGCUGAUUUGCCCUUGAUGUAAAAUUUAUUGCAUCUAUAUGCUAAUGACCUUAUUUCUGCAUCUUCAGCCAUUACACAAAUUUAUACUCUCAUUGAAUUUCACCAACUAAAAUCAUGUUGUUUCAAAUUAGAAAUACCCCAGAAAGGGAGAAUUUGGGUAUGAAAAUAAUGGCAUUGGAAAUUUAGAGGAUGACAGAUUUCUUUUUCCACUGUAUCCCACUCCAGUGACAAGAAUAAUGAUGUAGCUUGACAAUAGAUGAAGUCAGAUACCGUGUAUGUCCUUUUGCAUCUACUGCUAUCUUAACAGUAAAGAAAGUAAACUUAAAUGUAAGGAAAGAAUUUUGGUUUGUAGCUUGGAAAUAAACUUUUUUAAGUUUGAGUUAUAACA
RNAcentral lists this long non-coding RNA (879 nucleotides) under Parus major (Great Tit). RNAcentral's name for it is "lncRNA (ENSPMJG00000014862.1)". Lineage: Eukaryota; Metazoa; Chordata; Aves; Passeriformes; Paridae. The record is from RNAcentral.